AUAAACAUUUUUAUGCUUUUUAAAAAGUUAGAAGCUUUUUAUUAAUUAUUUCUUU
Molecule: transfer RNA, 55 nt
Filed under: Calopteron sp. UPOL A00628
Lineage: Eukaryota; Metazoa; Arthropoda; Insecta; Coleoptera; Lycidae
Description: partial tRNA-Ser
Source: RNAcentral